RNAcentral lists this transfer RNA (87 nucleotides) under Prevotella sp. RNAcentral's name for it is "tRNA-Leu". It matches the Rfam family "tRNA". Rfam says of the family: Transfer RNA (tRNA) molecules are approximately 80 nucleotides in length. Their secondary structure includes four short double-helical elements and three loops (D, anti-codon, and T loops). Lineage: Bacteria; Pseudomonadati; Bacteroidota; Bacteroidia; Bacteroidales; Prevotellaceae. The record is from RNAcentral. RNAcentral also lists the same sequence under 3 other names.
GGCCGGGUGGUGAAAUUGGCAGACGCGUCGGACUCAAAAUCCGAUAUCGGCAACGAUGUGUGGGUUCAAGUCCCACCCCGGCCACCA